GGGAGCUUGCUCCCUGAUGUUAGCGGCGGACGGGUGAGUAACACGUGGGUAACCUGCCUGUAAGACUGGGAUAACUCCGGGAAACCGGGGCUAAUACCGGAUGGUUGUUUGAACCGCAUGGUUCAGACAUAAAAGGUGGCUUCGGCUACCACUUACAGAUGGACCCGCGGCGCAUUAGCUAGUUGGUGAGGUAACGGCUCACCAAGGCAACGAUGCGUAGCCGACCUGAGAGGGUGAUCGGCCACACUGGGACUGAGACACGGCCCAGACUCCUACGGGAGGCAGCAGUAGGGAAUCUUCCGCAAUGGACGAAAGUCUGACGGAGCAACGCCGCGUGAGUGAUGAAGGUUUUCGGAUCGUAAAGCUCUGUUGUUAGGGAAGAACAAGUGCCGUUCAAAUAGGGCGGCACCUUGACGGUACCUAACCAGAAAGCCACGGCUAACUACGUGCCAGCAGCCGCGGUAAUACGUAGGUGGCAAGCGUUGUCCGGAAUUAUUGGGCGUAAAGGGCUCGCAGGCGGUUUCUUAAGUCUGAUGUGAAAGCCCCCGGCUCAACCGGGGAGGGUCAUUGGAAACUGGGGAACUUGAGUGCAGAAGAGGAGAGUGGAAUUCCACGUGUAGCGGUGAAAUGCGUAGAGAUGUGGAGGAACACCAGUGGCGA
RNAcentral lists this ribosomal RNA (660 nucleotides) under Bacillus subtilis. RNAcentral describes it as "bacterial SSU rRNA". It matches the Rfam family "Bacterial small subunit ribosomal RNA", at positions 74 to 718 of the family's 1533-position model. Lineage: Bacteria; Bacillati; Bacillota; Bacilli; Caryophanales; Bacillaceae. The record is from RNAcentral.